AUACGGAGGAUCCGAGCGUUAUCCGGAUUUAUUGGGUUUAAAGGGUGCGCAGGCGGCCAUUUAAGUCAGCGGUUAAAUCAUGGGGCUCAACCCCAUUCUGCCGUUGAUACUGGGUGGCUUGAUUGCGGUCGAGGUUGGCGGAAUUCGUUGUGUAGCGGUGAAAUGCAUAGAUAUGACGAAGAACACCGAUUGCGUAGGCAGCUGACCAGACCGCAAAUGACGCUCAUGCACGAAAGUGCGGUGAUCGAACAGGAUUAGAUACCCUGGUAGUCCGCACAGUAAACGAUGAAUACUUGUUUUCGGCGAUAUAAUGUCGGAGGCAAAGCGAAAGCGAUAAGUAUUCCACCUGGGGAGUACGCCGGCAACGGUGAUACUCAAAUGAAUUGACGGGG
Molecule: ribosomal RNA, 392 nt
Filed under: uncultured bacterium
Lineage: Bacteria
Description: partial 16S ribosomal RNA
Rfam family: Bacterial small subunit ribosomal RNA
Source: RNAcentral